RNAcentral lists this ribosomal RNA (253 nucleotides) under uncultured bacterium. RNAcentral's name for it is "partial 16S ribosomal RNA". It matches the Rfam family "Bacterial small subunit ribosomal RNA", at positions 524 to 776 of the family's 1533-position model. The record is from RNAcentral.
UACAGAGGGUGCAAGCGUUGUUCGGAAUUAUUGGGCGUAAAGGGCGCGUAGGCGGGUGUUUAAGUCAGAGGUCAAAUCCCAGAGCUCAACUCUGGAACUGCCUUUGAUACUGGACACCUAGAGUACGGGAGAGGUGUGUGGAACUCCGAGUGUAGAGGUGAAAUUCGUAGAUAUUCGGAAGAACACCAGUGGCGAAGGCGACACACUGGCCCGUUACUGACGCUGAGGCGCGAAAGCGUGGGGAGCAAACAGG